This 1002-nucleotide long non-coding RNA is filed under the name Oryctolagus cuniculus (rabbit). RNAcentral's name for it is "lncRNA (ENSOCUG00000038826.1)". The record is from RNAcentral. Lineage: Eukaryota; Metazoa; Chordata; Mammalia; Lagomorpha; Leporidae.
GAGGCAGAGAGAGAGAGAGAGAGAGGCCUUCCAUCUGCUGGUUCACUCCCCACAUGGCCGCAACAGCCGGACCUGGGCCCAGCCGCAGCCAGGAGCCAGCAGCUUCCGCCAGGUCUCCCACGCAGGUGCAGGACCCCAAGGACUCGGGCCGUCCUCCACUGCACUCCCAGGCAAAGCAGGGAGCUGGAUCGGGAGUGCAGCAGCUGGAGGCUUAACCUACCACAGCACCGACUACGGAAGCCAGCUGGACUCUGCCGGACGUUAAGGUCCUGGCCGUGCUUUAGAGAAACUAUUUUCCGCUCCCGUUCCGACGCAUGCCCCGCUGUCGUCUGUGACUGCGAUUCCUGGCUCAAUCCAGGCAGAUUUGGGGCCCAGAAAUUGGUCUACUUGAUCGGCUACCCCAGGGGGCGUUCCAAGAGGCUCUUUAAUCUUCUUCUGAGCUCUCGAAGCUCAGAGCAGUCAAAGAGCAUUACCCAACCCAGGACCCACCCCGGGGACCGCAGCAGGGGGAGCACUUUCUGGCCUCACUCUGGUCGGCGGUUCCGGACACCCCUAACGCUGUGGCAGUUCCCGUCCGAGCAGCGGAGCCUUCAGCGGGAGGGCGUCCUGUCACUCACGCCGGAUUGGCAGCUGCCAGACCCAGUCCUCACCGGCUGCGGCUCGUCGUCGGGCCGACUCCCGGGGGCGUCUCGCGUUUCUGUCGGGACCCUCGUCGCCGGGCUGCUGGGCGUGGUCAGCGAGGCGGCCCGGAGGCCCGAGCGCCUCUCCAUCUCGGGCGCCGCGCAGGCCCGUUCCUUCCAGCCGCCUCCGGGACGUGCCGAUCACCCGGGGCCGCGUCACACGACGGCGUCCUGGCCCGGGCCGGGGCCCAGCCCGCGCGGCUGGGAUUUCAGUCCCGGGAAGACCCGGAUCCGAGGCAGCCGCAGGGCAGACCCGCGUCUCCCAGCGAGGGGGCGGCUCGGCGCGCACCCGAGGGCGGGGAUCCCGGACCGAGCCUCAUAG